UACGUAGGUGACAAGCGUUGUCCGGAUUUACUGGGCGUAAAGAGCGCGCAGGCGGUCGAUCAAGUCGAGUGUGAAAGCCCCCGGCUCAACUGGGGAGGGUCAUUCGAUACUGAUCGACUCGAAGGCAGGAGAGGGUAGUGGAAUUCCCGGUGUAGUGGUGAAAUUCGUAGAUAUCGGGAGGAACACCGGUGGCGAAGGCGGCGACCUGGGUCGACACUGACGCUGAGGCGCGAAAGCCAGGGGAGCAAACGGG
Molecule: ribosomal RNA, 253 nt
Filed under: uncultured bacterium
Lineage: Bacteria
Description: partial 16S ribosomal RNA
Rfam family: Bacterial small subunit ribosomal RNA
Source: RNAcentral